This 68-nucleotide transfer RNA is filed under the name Trachypenaeus curvirostris. RNAcentral describes it as "tRNA-Met". It matches the Rfam family "tRNA". Rfam says of the family: Transfer RNA (tRNA) molecules are approximately 80 nucleotides in length. Their secondary structure includes four short double-helical elements and three loops (D, anti-codon, and T loops). The record is from RNAcentral. Lineage: Eukaryota; Metazoa; Arthropoda; Malacostraca; Decapoda; Penaeidae.
AAAAAGAUAAGCUAAGUAAGCUCGUGGGCUCAUACCCCAUUUAUGAGGUAUCAAUUCCUCUCUUUUUA